CUAUGCAGUUGUUAAGGUUUUCUAGACAGUUGCCAAGGUGACACUAUGUGAUUGUUUAUGUUUUCUGAGCUUGAUACAACAUAUUGUUGCUAUGGUGUUCAACAGAAGGUAGGUUCUAGGGCAUUGCUAUAUGGUUGCCAGGGUGUUGCUAUGCAGGUACUGUGUUCUUACUGCAACUUACAUUGCACUCAAGCUAUACUGUACAUCUUAUAAAGUUCAUGCAUGUUUUCCUUGCUUCUUUUUAACCUGGGUUUCCUCUGAUGCUAUGAAUAUGUUGAUAUUUUAACUUUAACUCAUAGUAUUUUGCGGUGCAUUUGCAUUCUAACACAUUUUGCAAUGCAACUGCAUUGCUAGAAGCCUUUGAAUUCAUGUACUUGCAUAUGUUUGGCCCUGAGGCAUCACCGAUGCACUCCUGACAUGAAGGCAGUCCAAAAUAAAGGCAGCAAUAUGAUGCAUUAUUAUUUAGCCGUUCUCUGAUGGAUGCAUGUCCUUGUGUGGCUCUGUGCAGACUCUUGGGCUCAGGACGGGGUCGGUGGCCCCGCGUGGCCCCUCUUCCUCUGGGUCAGAGCGCAGCCAGACCCCCUGUCUCCA
This is a long non-coding RNA of Cyprinus carpio carpio, 591 nucleotides long. Lineage: Eukaryota; Metazoa; Chordata; Actinopteri; Cypriniformes; Cyprinidae. The record is from Ensembl.